Oncorhynchus keta (chum salmon) is the source of this 406-nucleotide long non-coding RNA. RefSeq lists it as uncharacterized. NCBI's taxonomy places the organism in Eukaryota, Metazoa, Chordata, Actinopteri, Salmoniformes, Salmonidae. The record is from RefSeq and is a predicted model, not a curated record. The transcript is spliced from 3 exons.
UAUGUUCCUAAAUGAAGGUGGAAGGAAUGCCCUGGAACAGCCAUGUGGAGGGAGGGAUUAUGCCUCUAAAUGAAGGUGGAAGGAAUGCCCUGGAACAGCCAUGUGGAGGGAGGGAUUAUGCCUCUAAAUGAAGGUGGAAGGAAUGCCCUGGAACAGCCAUGUGGAGGGAGGGAUUAUGCCUCUAAAUGAAGGUGGAAGGAAUGCCCUGGAACAGCCAUGUGGAUGGAGGGAUUAUGUUCCUAAAUGAAGGUGGAAGGAAUGCCCUGGAACAGCCAUGUGGAUGGAGGGAUUAUGUUCCUAAAUGAAGGUGGAAGGAAUGCCCUGGAACAGCCAUGUGGAUGGAGGGAUUAUGUUCCUAAAUGAAGGUGGAAGGAAUGCCCUGGAACAGCCAUGUGGAGGGAGGGAU